AUACGGAGGGUGCAAGCGUUGUUCGGAAUCACUGGGCGUAAAGGGCGCGCAGGCGGUUUGGUAAGUCAGAUGUGAAAGCCCACGGCUCAACCGUGGAAGUGCAUUUGAAACUGUCAGACUUGAGUACUAGAGGGGAAAGUGGAAUUCCCGGUGUAGAGGUGAAAUUCGUAGAUAUCGGGAGGAAUACCGGUGGCGAAGGCGACUUUCUGGCUAGAUACUGACGCUGAGGCGCGAAAGCGUGGGGAGCAAACAGGAUAAGAAACCCUAGUAGUCC
RNAcentral lists this ribosomal RNA (274 nucleotides) under uncultured bacterium. RNAcentral describes it as "partial 16S ribosomal RNA". It matches the Rfam family "Bacterial small subunit ribosomal RNA", at positions 523 to 796 of the family's 1533-position model. The record is from RNAcentral.